This 460-nucleotide ribosomal RNA is filed under the name uncultured bacterium. RNAcentral's name for it is "partial 16S ribosomal RNA". It matches the Rfam family "Bacterial small subunit ribosomal RNA", at positions 338 to 795 of the family's 1533-position model. The record is from RNAcentral.
CCUACGGGGGGCAGCAGUUAGGAAUAUUGGUCAAUCGACGAGAGUCUGAACCAGCCAAGUAGCGUGAAGGAUGACUGCCCUAUGGGUUGUAAACUUCUUUUAUAAAGGAAUAAAACGAGGCACGUGUGCCUUUUUGCUUGUACUUUAUGAAUAAGGAUCGGCUAACUCCGUGCCAGCAGCCGCGGUAAUACGGAGGAUCCGAGCGUUAUCCGGAUGUAUUGGGUUUAAAGGGAGCGUAGAUGGGUUGUUAAGUCAGUUGUGAAAGUUUGCGGCUCAACCGUAAAAUUGCAAUUGAUACUGGCAGUCUUGAGUACAGUUGAGGUAGGCGGAAUUCGUGGUGUAGCGGUGAAAUGCUUAGAUAGCACGAAGAACCCCGAUUGCGAAGGCAGCUUACUAAACUGUGACUGACAUUGAGGCUCGAAAGUGUGGGUAUCAAACAGGAUUAGAUACCCGUGUAGUC